UAGACUAGAAGACACCUCUGUUCAUUUAGCCUUUCCACACAGUUCAAGGUUUCUAAACUUCUCACCAUUACCACUGCUUUCCCCAAGGCCCUCUGUAAUUACUCCAUAUCCUUCUCAAAACACAGUGCCCCAAACUAGAUCUGCUUUCCACCCAUGUUGAGUUGGGCAGAAAAACGUCGUCUUGUGUCUCAAAGGCCAUACUGCUGCUCACACACCUUGUGAGGAGAUCUCCUUGCCCUAACUGGGUAAGGGAGUGAUCCCCCCAUGAUACAGGCAAUGAUAAUUUCAGCCUGAGGUUAGGGCUGUCACCAUGUGGAAUUGCACAUUUUUGUGGUGGGUUCUUUUUUUACCAAACUGUUUCUCCAGUUUGUCAAGAUCAGUUUGUCCCCAGCCAUGCUGGUUGCCUGAACCAGCUUGGCAGUACCUGCAAAUUUAGCAAAUGUACUCACUAAAAACCAUCCAUAAAGGAGACCCAGGUGGUGGACAGACCCCUGUAGAUCCCCCCCAGUUUUGACAGUGAACCUGUGAGAGUUAAUAGGACAGUUAAUAGCACUUUUGGCUACCAUACAGUAUAUGUCAUCUGGUCGUUACCCUACUUCUUUAUGAAAAUGCCAUGAGGGCAGGAUCAAAGGCUUAUUAAGGAACCCUGCCCUCACCCACAGGGCCUGUUAAGCUGUUGAAGGAAAUUCAUCGGAUUAACAAGACCUGUUUCUGAUGGAUUCAUAUUAAGUCUUGCUCAUUUCCUACCAGUUACUUUCAUGCAAGUGUUUGCCAGGCAACUGAAGUUAAGCUGGCCAGCCCAAAACUCCCUGGAUUCUUCCUUUCCCUCUCUUGAAGAUAGGAAUUAUUAUUGCUGUUUUCCAGCAUUUCUUCUGGGCUGUGUCUAUCCUCCAGGAGUUUCCCUCAGGAGGUUCAGAGCAGUCAGCCUCUGGGAAAGGAAGGAGAAGGGUCUCUUUUGAAGUACUGCAGUAGGAAGCUUUAACAUCAGUGCUUGCUUUUGGGAAGUUUAGUCUGCUAUAUACUGCAGAGACACGUUGGGCUGAUAAGCAAUAGUUAAGAAACCAGCCCCUGGCUGUGAGAGCUCAUAGAGGAUCUUAUAAGGUGCUUUUGUACUUCCAAAGGUAGUUUCAUUUCUUUGUGUCAUCAUCAGGUUACAAACAGGCCAUUCAGACCACCAGCACCGUUCUAAUACCAUGAUUGAAAAGCAGGUUAUUAUUUUUUAGUCUGUGUAACUCUAUUGCUCUGCCAUCCACAGCCUUCAGCUAAGAUAUUUUUAAAUGAGUAAUUUCAAAGUGAUAAAAGAUUUAUCAUAAAGCCUUUUUUUUUUUUUAAGGAACACUGUUCUGUGGCUUAGACCUUGAGGUUAAAGAAUUCCAAGAUCUAUUUUUUUAAAAAUCUACUAACGUUUUUCUGAAACUAGGAGACAGUACUUUGUUUGGUUACUUUUUACAUUUCAACUUUACCGUCAAUAUUAGUGGUCUACCACUUAUAGAAAGGUGCUGGGAAAAAAAUGAAGCUCUCUUUGCUGUGUGGGAAGAAACAUGUGACAGUGAGAAAACAAUAAAUAAAGCAUAUUUGAUUCUUCUUU
Long non-coding RNA from Aquila chrysaetos chrysaetos, 1588 nucleotides. RefSeq lists it as uncharacterized. The transcript is spliced from 2 exons. The record is from RefSeq and is a predicted model, not a curated record. NCBI's taxonomy places the organism in Eukaryota, Metazoa, Chordata, Aves, Accipitriformes, Accipitridae.